GGCCCCAACUCUGGCGUCUGUGUGAACUCUGCAGGAGGGUCAUCCUGCGGGUCACAGUCCCAGGUGCUCAGGAAGAACCUGUCCCCAGAGCCAGUGCCUGCUUGUAAAGGAGCUAACUGGAGCUGUCUUAGGAUGAGGGUCCUGAUGCCACCCCCCACCCCACCUCCACUGGGAACUCCAGGCUGUAAGGUGAGGCUGGGUUGAGCUUUAGUGCCCCCUGUAUGGGUGCCAGGCCUGGGGAAGGAGCAGCUCCAUUGGGAUGGGAGGGAGUGGGAGGCACCUGGCAUUCCCACGGCUACCCAGCUUCCGGCCCCGUUUGGAUCUGGGCCCAGCCUGCUGAGCCGCAGCGGGAACACGCGAGAAGCUGCCCACUCGGCGGGGCCUGUUGGUGCAGAAAGCUGGCCUUGGAAGAGCAGAGCCAAGGCUGCCAGAAAGGGGUGCUGGGAGGCCACUGCCCAUUGGUGCAGGAGGAGCCUCUGGGCCCCAGAGGAGGCCUGGGCAUGGGGGUGGAUGUGGACAUAGGCAGAAGCCUUUAGCCCCACCCCGGAAGGUGGCACAAAGGGGAGCCGAGCCAGAGCUGAGCGUCCCCAGCACCCACUCCACCAUCAGCUGCUCAGGCUGGCCCUGGCCUCAGACUCCUGCAGUCCCAACCCCAGGGGCCUCAGGUGGACUAAGGAACAGGGCGCUGGGCAGGGCAUGAAAGAACCACCAAGAGACCACCCUCAUUGUUGGCAUUUGGGGUGGCACUCAGUUAAACAAAAGUCUAGUGAGGCCGGGUGCAGUGGCUCAUGCCUGUAAUCCCAGCAAUUUGGGAUGCCAGGGCGGGUGGAUCACCUGAGUUCAGGAGUUGGAGACCAGUCUGGUCAACAUGGUGAAACCCCAUCUCUACAAACACCACAAAAAUUAGCCAGGUGUACUGACAGGCACCUGUAAUCCCAGCUACUUGGGGGGCUGAGGCAGGAGAAUCGCUUGAACCUGGGAGACAGAAGUUGCAGUGAGCCAAAAUCAUGCCAUCGCACUCCAGCCUGGGUAACAAGAGUGAAACUCCAUCUCAAAUAAAUGAAUGAAUUAAUUAAUUUAAUUUAAUGUAUUCAGACCGUGACUCCUCCUCACCCUCCACUGCUCCCUCCUGUCCAAGCACACCCUUCUUUCCCUGAUGAUGGAGGAGCACCCCCCCCAAGGUGGUCUUGCACUUCCAUGCUGCAUCCCAGGCUAUUCUCCCCCAUCAGCCAAACUGUCCCUGUUGAAACCGAAGUCAGUGUUCUGCUUCCUGUGACACAGAGAAGCUCUGAGCAGACCCCUCCCACUAUACACACAGAUAAUAGCUAGGAAGUUUGAAUCAAAUAUAAACAACUUUCGGGCCGGGUGUGGUGGCUCACGCCUGUAAUUCCAGCACUUUGGGAGGCCGAGGUGGGUGGAUCACGAGGUCAGGAGAUCGAGACCAUCCUGGCUAACAUGGUGAAAUCCUGUCUCUAUUAAGAAUACAAAAAAAUUAGCCAGGCAUGGUGGCAGGCGCCUAUAGUCCCAGCUA
This 1531-nucleotide long non-coding RNA is filed under the name Macaca fascicularis (crab-eating macaque). RNAcentral describes it as "lncRNA (ENSMFAG00000060010.1)". Lineage: Eukaryota; Metazoa; Chordata; Mammalia; Primates; Cercopithecidae. The record is from RNAcentral.